RNAcentral lists this ribosomal RNA (688 nucleotides) under uncultured Bacteroidota bacterium. RNAcentral describes it as "bacterial SSU rRNA". It matches the Rfam family "Bacterial small subunit ribosomal RNA", at positions 163 to 847 of the family's 1533-position model. Lineage: Bacteria; Pseudomonadati; Bacteroidota. The record is from RNAcentral.
CUAAUACCCAAUGAUAUCCCACGAAGGCAUCCGAAUGGGAAUUAAAGAAUUUAUCGGUGAUGGAUGGGGAUGCGUCUGAAUUAGCUUGUUGGCGGGGUAACGGCCCACCAAGGCUACGAUCAGUAGGGGUUCUGAGAGGAAGGUCCCCCACAUUUGGAACUGAGACACGGUCCAAACUCCUACGGGAGGCAGCAGUGAGGAAUAUUGGUCAAUGGGCGAGAGCCUGAACCAGCCAAGUAGCGUGCAGGAUGACGGCCCUAUGGGUUGUAAACUGCUUUUAUAAGGGAAUAAAGUGAGUCUCGUGAGACUUUUUGCAUGUACCUUAUGAAUAAGGACCGGCUAAUUCCGUGCCAGCAGCCGCGGUAAUACGGAAGGUCCGGGCGUUAUCCGGAUUUAUUGGGUUUAAAGGGAGCGUAGGCCGGAGAUUAAGCGUGUUGUGAAAUGUUGUGGCUCAACCUCUGCACUGCAGCGCGAACUGGUUCUUCUUGAGUACGCACAACGUGGGCGGAAUUCGUGGUGUAGCGGUGAAAUGCUUAGAUAUCACGAAGGACUCCGAUUGCGAAGGCAGCUCACGGGAGCGCAACUGACGCUGAAGCUCGAAAGUGCGGGUAUCGAACAGGAUUAGAUACCCUGGUAGUCCGCACGGUAAACGAUGGAUGCCCGCUGUUGGCCUGAAUAGGUCAGCGGC